UAAUUAUCAAAAAUGUUGCAGGUACCACAUCUUUUGAAGAAAACAUUACCAUCCCAGUAUUUUGGUGCUUGUGACUUCGAGGAAACAUCCAAGCUUCAUUCCAGUCCGUCAGGUGGCCUUCAGAUGGUCUUAGGAUUGAUUGCAUGAGUUCAAUCCUCGAUGCGUACUGAGGAAGCCUACAAGAAGGUGAGCCAAGUAGAACACGCUACUGAUUUGUGAUUGAAGGUGAGCUAAACCGAGCUUUCCGCAGACUUGUGGCUGGAGGUAGGCACCCUUUUAUAGAGAGAUGGCCACUUUACUUUCAGGGGCCGCAUUUUGAUGAUGACU
Molecule: long non-coding RNA, 327 nt
Organism: Rosa chinensis
Lineage: Eukaryota; Viridiplantae; Streptophyta; Magnoliopsida; Rosales; Rosaceae
Exons: 3
Source: RefSeq, a predicted model, not a curated record